AUUGAACGCUGGCGGCAUGCUUUACACAUGCAAGUCGAACGGUAGAGGGGGCAACCCCUUGAGAGUGGCGAACGGGUGAGUAAUGCAUCGGAACGUGCCCAGUCGUGGGGGAUAACGCAGCGAAAGCUGUGCUAAUACCGCAUACGAUCUCUGGAUGAAAGCGGGGGACCGAAAGGCCUCGCGCGAUUGGAGCGGCCGAUGUCAGAUUAGGUAGUUGGUGGGGGAAAGGCUCACCAAGCCAACGAUCUGUAGCUGGUCUGAGAGGACGACCAGCCACACUGGGACUGCGGCACGGCCCAGACUCCGACGGGAGGCAGCAGUGGGGAAUUUUGGACAAUGGGCGAAAGCCUGAUCCAGCCAUUCCGCGUGAGUGAAGAAGGCCUUCGGGUUGUAAAGCUCUUUCGCAAGGGAAGAAAACUUAAGCUCUAACAUAGCUUGAGGUUGACGGUACCUUGAUAAGAAGCACCGGCUAACUACGUGCCAGCCGCCGCGGUAA
RNAcentral lists this ribosomal RNA (496 nucleotides) under uncultured bacterium. RNAcentral's name for it is "partial 16S ribosomal RNA". It matches the Rfam family "Bacterial small subunit ribosomal RNA", at positions 30 to 523 of the family's 1533-position model. The record is from RNAcentral.